RNAcentral lists this long non-coding RNA (409 nucleotides) under Ananas comosus (pineapple). Its description in RNAcentral is "long non-coding RNA (ACOM_LNC026483)". Lineage: Eukaryota; Viridiplantae; Streptophyta; Magnoliopsida; Poales; Bromeliaceae. The record is from RNAcentral.
UUUAAAUUUUUAAAUUUGAGAUUUAAAAAUAAAUUUUAAUUUUGAAUACUGUAAUUUUAAAAGUUAUCUAUUUAAAUUAAAAAUUUUAAAUAUAAAAUAAAAAAUUUAAAUUCAAAUAUAAAAAUUAGGGCAAAAUCAUUAUUUUCUAUUUAUAACAACACACUAUCCUUCUUAUUCCAUCUACUCCAACCAAACACUAUUUUACUUAUACCUGAACUAAAUGCAAUUCUCAACCAAACACAAAAUUACUCUAACCCCACCUUAACCCUGAGCUUAAUUCUAUCACUGAAAUAACUAGUUCUUACUUAAUUCCGAACCAAACGAAGCCUUAGUGACAACAACUAAAAUAAUACUUAAAUAGUUAGUGACAACAACUAAAAUAAUACUUAAAUAGUACUAACACCAAUAC